AUUGAACGCUGGCGGCAUGCCUUACACAUGCAAGUCGAACGGUAACAGGUCUUCGGAUGCUGACGAGUGGCGAACGGGUGAGUAAUACAUCGGAACGUGCCCGAUCGUGGGGGAUAACGGAGCGAAAGCUUUGCUAAUACCGCAUACGAUCUACGGAUGAAAGCAGGGGACCGCAAGGCCUUGCGCGGACGGAGCGGCCGAUGGCAGAUUAGGUAGUUGGUGGGAUAAAAGCUUACCAAGCCGACGAUCUGUAGCUGGUCUGAGAGGACGACCAGCCACACUGGGACUGAGACACGGCCCAGACUCCUACGGGAGGCAGCAGUGGGGAAUUUUGGACAAUGGGCGAAAGCCUGAUCCAGCCAUGCCGCGUGCAGGAUGAAGGCCUUCGGGUUGUAAACUGCUUUUGUACGGAACGAAAAGACUCUUUCUAAUAAAGAGGGUCCAUGACGGUACCGUAAGAAUAAGCACCGGCGAACUACGU
RNAcentral lists this ribosomal RNA (481 nucleotides) under uncultured bacterium. RNAcentral describes it as "partial 16S ribosomal RNA". It matches the Rfam family "Bacterial small subunit ribosomal RNA", at positions 30 to 506 of the family's 1533-position model. The record is from RNAcentral.